CAUUAGUUAAAAAGUUACAGAUCUGAGAAGAAAAUCAAAUGGGGUUUUUAGUUUAUGUAUUUCUAGUACCUCAGCAGCAAGGUAUUCAAGAACAACUGCGAGAUAAAUAGGAGCACCAGAUCCAACACGCUGAGCAUAACGACCCUUCUUCAAGUAACGAGCAAUACGACCAACUGGAAACUGAAGACCAGCUUUCACUGACCUAGCUACAGCCUUCUUCUUUGAGCCACCCUUCCUUCCUCCGGCACCUUUGGGUGUCGUAGUAGCAUCCAUUUCUGUCAACAACUAAAUGUUUUGAAGAGAAAAAUAGAGAAUAAGCUUUGAGUGGUUUUUGCCUUUGAGAUUUGAAAGCUGACGAAGAAAAUGGAACGGUGGAGUUUGACAUUUAUAGGAUAGAGAUGGAUUGCCACGCUGGCGAUCCGUGUGAGUGGUAUUGUUAUUUCACGGUGCGGAUUUGUUGUUUUAAUGUAAGAUCGGACGGGUACCAAAAGCUUCAGAUUUUUGUAAUUUUGACGCCAAUAUACUUGGGACUGAAUUUUUUUGGAGACACUACAAUUUGUUGAUUACAUUUCAUUUUAUAUGGUGAUUAAAAAAUUAUAAAUUAAAUAAUAAAUUUUAUCAUUUUAUAUUUUACUCAUAUUAAUUACUUCAACAACAUAUUCAAUGUUUUCCCAUAUAGUGGGAUCUGGGAGGGCAGAGUGUACGCAGAUCAUACCAUUUCCUUAGAUAAAAUAGAGAGGCCGUUUCCGAUAGACUCCCGGUUUAGGACCGAUAACAGUAUAACAAACAUCAAACAUAAAUACAUAUAAAUUAGUACAGUUUGUAAAAUAAACUAACGGCACUAGCCAUAAGAUAAUAUUACAACCACAGGAUAAUACUAAAAACUAUCUAUUCGAAAUCAUAGAUAUCACUCAAUACCAUGAACAAAAAAUUUCAGACACAAAUAAAGAACACUCCCCUACUUUUACCGACGCACUCCCACCCCCUAACUCUCUACCCCAAUUUGUGUUCUCCACAUCUUCCUAUCAAGGGUCAUAUACUUUGUAAAAUAUAACUGCUCCAUAUCAUACCUAAUCACCUCCCUCCAAUAUUUCUUCUAUCUACCUCUGUCCUGCCUAAAAUCAUCCAUAGCCAGUGUCUCACACCUCUGUACUAGAGCAUCAAAGCCCAUCUUCAUCACAUGCACGAACCAACGUAACCUUACUUCCGCAUCUUGUCUUCCACCGAGGUCACUCCCACCUUCUCCUGAAUAAUCUCAUUUCUUGCCCUAUCUUUCCUAGUUUCACCACACAUUUAUCGUAACAUCCUCAUCUCCGCCACCUUCAACUUUAGGAUAUGGAAGUUCUUAACUGGUCAACACUCCGUUCCAUACAAUAUAAACGGUCGGACUGUCACUCUCUAAAACUUUCCUUUAAUUUUCGGGGGCACCUUCCUAUCACAUAAAACUUUUGAAGCGAGCCUCUAUUUCAACCACUCAGCCCCAAUACGAUGCAUGACAUCCUUGUCAAUCUCAACAUUACCCUGAAUCAUAGACCUCAAAUACUUGAAACUCUCCUUCUUCUGAAUGGGCUAAGAGUUCAACUUCACAACCACGUCAGCCUCUUGUGACACAUCACUAGACUUACACUCCAAGUACUCUGUCUUGGUCUUGUUUAACCGAAAUCCUUUAGACUCAAAGGUCUGUCUCCAAAUCAUCAACUUAUCAUUAAUUUCUUCCCGAGUCUCGUUAAUCAAUACCACACUAUCAGCAAAUAACAUACACCAAGGCACCUCCCCUUUAAUAUGUCGCGUCAAAAUUUUCAUCACCAUAGCAAAUAAAAAGGGGUAAGAGUCGAUCCCUGAUGCAACCCUGUCAAAAUCGAAAAGUGCUCUGAAUCUCACCUACCGUCCUUACCCGAGUCUUUGCGCCUUCAUACAUAUCCUGAAUCGAUCCAGUGUAUGCCACAAGUACCCCUUUAACCUCCAAGCACCUCCACAGAAUCUCCCUGGGAAUUUUGUCAUAAGCCUUUCCAAGAUCAAUAAACAUCAUGUGCAAGUCCUUCUUCCUCUCCCGAAACUGCUCCACUAAUCUCCUCACAAGAUGAAUGGCCUCAGUAGUCUAGUAACCUGGCAUGAAACCAAAUUGGUUUUCAGAGAUAGUCACGCUCCUUCUCAACCUCAACUCUACCAUCUUUUCUCAAACCUUCAUAAUAUUACUCAACAACUUAAUACCUCUAUAGUUGUUGUAACUCUGAAUGUCUCUUUUGUUCUUAUAUAAUGGAAUCAUUGUACUCUACCUCCAUGCUUCAAGCAUCUUCACCGCCCUAAAAAUGAUGUUAAACAACCCUGGUAACCACUCCAAACCUGCCCCUCUAGUGUUCUUCCAAAAAUCCACUAGAAUCUCGUCUGGCCCUAUUGCUCUACCCCGACGUAUCUUGCGAAUAAACCCCUUGACCUCCUCAACCUCGAUACUCCUACAAUAACCAUAGUCGCAACACUCCUCAGAUUUCUCCAAGUCCCCCGACACGAAACCUUUGUCCCCCUUAUCGUUCAAAAGUUUAUGAAAGUAAGACUGUCACAUCUUCCUAAUGAGGGCAUCCUCAACUAACAUAGUACCAUCCACGCCCUUGAUGCACCUCUCUUUGUCAAAGUCACGAGCCCUUCGCUCCCUAGCCUUGGCAAGCCUAUACAAUUUUUUAUAUUAUAAUUGUUCAUAUUUAAUAUAUAUUAUUAAUUAUAGGGGUAAAUAUAAACAAAUUAACUAAUUUUGUCCUGAUUUAGGAAGUAAUCAACUACUCCCUCUGUUUCAUAUUAUGUGGUCCUUAUAAACUUGACACACCCAUUAAGAAAUCAAUAAAUAGAGAUUUGUUUUAUAUAUCUACCCUUAUAUGCCUUUUAAAGUGCAAUAGCUAAUGCAACAAUUAAAUAAUGAAAUUUGAACAUAUUACUCCAUCCUAUGCAUUACGCCUAGAACGUUGAAUAUUUAUAAUUGAAACUAGUAAUAAUCAUUUAAUGGGCGUUUGGUCAUGAAAAUUAAAACUUUUGAAGUUAAAUUUAGAGUUGAAGUUGGAAUUGAAGUUGGAGUUGCAAUUGUGUUUUUCAUGAAUAUAGUUGGAGUUGUUUUUGAAUUUUGUUGAGAGAGGGAUAUGGAAAAAAAUGAAAACAACUUUUUCUUGUUUUCCACUUUUUCAAAUCCAACUCAAGUUGUGUUUGAAAUUUUCAUGGCCAAACAUCAACUUGGAGUUGGAUUUGACAUAAAGUGAAUUUUUAUUUUUAUUUUUGAAAAAGUGAAAAAAUAUAAUGGUCAAACAGGCCCUUAAUUUUGGUUUGAGAAUUAAGAUCACUUAUGCACCAUUCAAUAAUUUUGAAAACUUUGAAUGUAUUUAAUACUCCUACCAAGUUAAGAAAGCCAACUAAUAUAAAUUGGAGUGAGUAAUAUGGGACAUUUAUUUUUGGCAGAAUACAUCGACACACCUCUUAACUUGACAUUAUUUUUUACUUUGGCACUUCAACUGAGUGGUGUCCAUUUUUAACACCUUAAGUAGUCAUCAACUGUGUCACUUUGACACAUUUUGCUGAUUUGACACAUCGUGUAUAUUGCACACACUUUGAGCGCGUGAAUAGCUUAAAAACUAUACUAAUUUUUAGUUUUCUUCUUCUUCUUUCUUUUGAUCUUCUUCAACACUUUUCUCCAUUUUUAUUCACCAACCACUCAACCCAACCACGAUUUCUUCCUUAAUGAUAGUCAAAAAUGGAGAAAAAUUAAUCUACCAUCACCUUCUUCUUUCAAUUUCUAUAAAUUCAUAAUUUUCAAUCUCUCAUUUUAGCUCAAUUUCUGCCUCAAUUUUAAGUUCAUUUAAUGAUGAAAAGUUUUGAAAUAGAGUUAGAGUUAACAUGAAAGAAUGAAUAGUGUCAAAUGCAAUUAGAUUGUGAAAAUUUCCACCAAUUUGAAAUCUCAAUAAAUUUUUAACAAUUUUUUUGGUGAUGAAUUCUUAACAGUUUUUUCUUUUUUCAAAAGAUGAUUGUGUAGUAGGAGGUAAUUGAAGAGAAGGUUUUAGAUGUGGGGAUGGGUAGGCAGAGGAGGUGAAACGGUGGUAGUAAUUGGAGAAGACUACCAAGGGGUAGGGAAGUGGGUGGGGUGGGGGUGGGGGUGGAUGAGGUGGAGAAGACAAAUUUGGUGAGGGUGGGGUAAUUAUAAUCUAUUUUUUUAUAAUUAUUUGGGUUAAAAAGUGUCAAGUGUCAAUAUUUAAUUGAAAUUUUUUUAUUUUAAUUAAAAUUAGUUGUUUAAAAAUUAAGUUGGAGAGAAAUGACAAAUGUCCGCAUUUUAUUCGUCAAUUUUAAUGUCAUUAGCGCAAAUAGCACACAUGUGGAGUAUUUUUUUGCUGGUUAUGAAAAAAGUGCUGAAAUGACACACUUGAGACUGCUUUAGUUGCUAAAAAUGUGCACCGUCCCCUUGAAGUGCCAAAGUGAAAGAUGGUGUCAAGUUAAGGGGCCUGCCGAUGUAUUCCGCAUUUAUUUUUAGUAAGAUGAUUAACUAAAAUGGGACGAAGGGAAUAGCAUAUAUGCUAAAAAAUUUAUCUCAAAAUUGUUGCUAAAACAUUGUUUCAAUAUAGUUAGAUUGUUUUAAAGAUCAACAGAUAAUUAACUAUUUCCCCCGUCUUAUAUUAGUUGUUGGCUAUUUUCUUUUAGUGGCGGAUCCAAGAUUUAAGGAUAGUGGGUACUUUUAAAAACUGAAAAAGUAAAAAACCAACUCAAUGAGGUUUGAAUCCGAGGCCUCCUUCCAAUGGGUGCUUUCAUAUGGUUUAUACCUAUUUUCAUAUAUUUUCUAUGUAAUUAUACUUAUUCCAUAUCGAGUUUAGUGGUGCUGCAGCACCCCCAAAAUCCUACAUAGGUCCGCCCCUGUUUUCUUUUUUAUACGCUUAUUAAGAAAUGAUAAAUAAAUAAAUUAAAAAGGCAUUUUUUACCAAUUCACCUUAAAAAACUUUUUAAAAACUUUACAAGUAAGUGUGAACACUUUAAAAAAAAAAAAAAUUGUUAGGAUAAUAUGAAAAAAUUUAAUUAAUGUUUUGUUGAUUUAGAAUCAUGGACAACUAAUAUACAACAACCAUUUUAGUAAUAUGAUCAACUAAUAUAGGACAAUUAUUUUAGUAAGAUGACCAAUUAAUAUGGAACAAAGAGAGUAUUUUUUGUUCAACUAUACCCUUAGAAAUUAAUUUUUAGAUUAAUUGAACAAGAUUCAAGUAAUCAAGAUUAAACAGAUAAUAUAGUCAUAUUACUCAAUCUAAAUCCCUUAUUAAUUUUUCUUAAGAGUUGUUCAAAUCUAUACAUGCCAACUAUCUUGAGACGAGAAGAGUAGUUGGAGAUUUUUGUCAAUAUACUUCGUGGACUCUGGUGUUUUGCCAUGCAGAUGUUCUACCAAAGUAUUUCAGCACUGAAUGGUUUUUGGACUGUGGCGCAGUCCCGCUUGCAAGAAGGUCUGCAGCACAUUGUGGCCUUUGGUCACCAAAAGAGUACGGUUGUGAUUCUUGGCAUGGAUGGCAGGUAAUUUUGUUAACAUAAGUACCUUUGGGAAGAAUCCUGGUGCGAGUGUGUCGCUUUGUAGUCUUUGUUUCUUUUUUCCAACAUUGUCCCAACUUUCGUGACAAGUGAAUUACAUCUUUGGAAUUGAACUACUAAUGCUUUGGUGCAUUGGAAAUGCAGUUUCUACCGAUGCCUGUUUGGUGCAGCAACUGGUGGGGAGAUGACCCUGUUCGAAUAUCAAUCUUGUUGCGUGCAUGUAACAGUUCCUUUUUCUAUUCACUGCCCUACUUCUGUGGCUUUUGUUUUUGCUGUAUCUAUUUAUGAAUUUGCAGGGGAACAUGGUAGUGACUGUAAAUAUGCUGGCUGUAUAGGUUGUUGGGUUCAUAGAAGUGUGAAUGAGAAAUAGAGAAGAAAUGGUGGAGGAAAAGGAGACACCAAAAUUGGAAAGUGUACUCCUAAUUUGGAAAGCUUACUCUUUCUCGCACAUUGGUGGAAGAAGAGAAUUUUUUAGUGCUUAUAUUGUGAAACACUUACUCCACAUGGUAAGUGAGGCAAGGAAAUAGAGAUGCCUCGCACCGUCGUCGCUCGCUUGGAUUUGAAUUUGGCAAAUGAUCGAUCGAUGAGAUCUAUCUUUUUGGAUAAAUUUUAUUUGACAAAAUCUGAACAAUGAUGAAAAACGCAGGAAAAUAUUUCUGAGUUUUAAUCCUUCAUUUACAUGCAGUAACAGUGACGCGAUGCUACUAUUUUAUGUGAACAGCAACACAGAACAGUUGCACUGCUUCGGAAAUGUUGCAUUGCUUCAGAACUGGUGCACUGUUUUAUGUUACUUAUUGCAUUGCUUCAGAACUGGUGCACUGUUUUAUGUUACUUAACUGAAAUGAUGCACUGGUUGAAUAAACAGAUGCAACCAUUCAGCAAAAGACACACUGAUUCAUCGAAAGAUAUAACUGUUCAGGAAAGGAUGCAAUCUUUGAUAAACAGACAUGAAUUUACAGCAAAGGUGCAACCUUUGGAGUGAACCAUUGCCUCCUUUCUAAAGCGGCAUCUUGUGGCUAUAAAUAACCUGGUUUUUAUCCACAGGUUAGAGAUAGAAAAUACAGAAAUUUUUAGAUUACAAAACAUUCUUAUUGUCUUAAAAAAUACUCCAAGUGUGAUCAUUCAAACCGUGAUUGUGUUCGAAGAAUCCGCCUAUUUAAGGUACCGCUAUAAUCGGAUUUAAGGUCAUUUUAUCCUGGAAGGAAGAUUCCAUAACCUCGGGUACAGUGAGGAGUAUUAAUCCUUAAGGAAAGUCCGUGAACUCGGACGAUUUGGCCUUAAUCAUUUCUGUUUCAUCUUUAUUUUCUGAAAAAUAAAUACACCUCUUGGAAAGGUCUUUUUGAUCUUGUGUUGAGGGUGUUUAAUACUUCAUUGUGUUCUUGUUCAUACUUGAACUCAAGUUGAAGUUGUUGUUCUGUGAUACAGAUUCUACAUACUCGUAUUGUGGAAAAUAACAUAGGUUACUGCUGUGUAUAAUGCCAGAUAACAAAAUCGCUAUGGACGUGUCUGUCAUCUUAGUGCUUGAAGUAUCUACUUAGUUUUGCUUGGGAACUAAACAAGUUGCUGCUUAAAGCCUGUCAAUUAUAUAAAGUUUUCAAUUUUAUACGUCUCAACUAUAGUCAACCUUCAGUCUUUCUAGUCCACAAUCCUGGAGAAAAGAUGCAAGCACUAAAAUAAAUGAACAAAUAGGAAAACUUUACAUUUUAGCUGGUCCGCAAGGUGCUCUAUACCACCAAAAGGCAUCUCAUGAAAUUCAAUGACGAUGUCGCUGGAAUAGUUCAACAAGAACCCCCUGUCUCCACACAAAGGAUUUACUCCUACAGACAAACGAACUGAAGGAGAGCUACUAAGGGGACUAUGUCUUAGCAUAUUUAUUUCAUUAAUCUGUACUCUAAAUAGCACAUCUACAGCAAAACAAAGGUAUUGCUGGCACUAAAUUGAAACACUAGACGUUCUGUGCUACAUACUUGCACAUUUCCAUAUCAGAUACAAAGAAGCAUAUGAAUCCCAUUUUAUAUAGGUAGUAAAUGGUAUUCCUCAUCUAAUAUGUAUGUAAAGCUACUUACAUCGUUCCUCAUAUUAAGAGUGAAAUGGCAUCUAAUUUUGAAGAUAAAGAAAAGGAUAAAAAAAAAUUGAAAAAAACAUUGAUUUUGCUCAUGAAUGGUUUGGUGUGAAAGCAAAAGAGAUGUUUCCACAGUUGCAUUGGAAGUGAAAUCUUUUCCAGAUGAGGAAAAAGAUAAACUUGCACCCUCUCCAUAAUGCUGUGAUAAAUCAAGAGAAAGUGCACACUUCCUUUAUCUUAAUUGAAACACAUUCAUGUUAAGAAAAGAUGGACCCAACACUGUAAUCAAAUGAGAUUGUGGCUGCACGAAAUGAGAAGUUCUUUCUAGUCAUUUCCCGUAAGAAAGUUUUACUAAAUUUGUAGCCUUUGAGAAAUCAAUGCACAAUAAUAUUGUAAGUUGUGUUGUCUGACAAGCAAACAUUUGUCACCAUUUCUUUUAGCAUAUCUGCAUACGCAUAGUUGUGCACCAGUCAGGGACUCCAGUACCAAAGGAGACUGGAAGGAAACAUCAAUAUGACCAUCUGCUCAUAUACUCAAAACACUACAAUGCCUAAGCCAAUCCCAGGAUGCAGCUUGCUUGAUGUGCCUUAUUUUGCAGCUGGAAGUGGACUCACUAGAUUUCAUCUUUACAGUUACAAAAUCAGAACAUAAUCAAAACAGACCAUAGUACCCACAAACACAAGGCAAACUUUCAAAACUUACUGCAAUAAUCAACCAACAGACGUCAAAUUUCAAAGAUUGGCACAUUCAUAUGUGAAAGAGAACAAGGAUAGUCACAAGCAUGUGAAUUGAUUGAGAGCCAGCGGUAUAAUUCUUCAAAUACUACUAGUUACUACAAAAACAAUCAGCAUACAAACAAGUUAACAUACUCCUUCACACCUAUGGAAAGUACCGCAACAAAAUUAUACAAUGAAAGAGCAAUUCCUCGAGAGUUAUCCUGCAGUCUUCAAAAACUAUACAAUUAUUGUAUCCUUCACACCUAUGGAAAGUACCGCAACAAAACUAUACAAUGAAAGAGCAAUUCCUCAAGGUUUAUCCUGCAGUCUUCAAAAACUAUACAAUUAUUGUACUAAAUGAAACAACAAAUCCACAUGUUCAAAAUGCUGUGAUAAAUCAAGAGAAAGUGCACACUUCCUUUAUCUUAAUUGAAACACAUUCAUGUUAAGAAAAGAUGGACCCAACACUGUAAUCAAAUGAGAUUGUGGCUGCACGAAAUGAGAAGUUCUUUCUAGUCAUUUCCCGUAAGAAAGUUUUACUAAAUUUGUAGCCUUUGAGAAAUCAAUGCACAAUAAUAUUGUAAGUUGUGUUGUCUGACAAGCAAACAUUUGUCACCAUUUCUUUUAGCAUAUCUGCAUACGCAUAGUUGUGCACCAGUCAGGGACUCCAGUACCAAAGGAGACUGGAAGGAAACAUCAAUAUGACCAUCUGCUCAUAUACUCAAAACACUACAAUGCCUAAGCCAAUCCCAGGAUGCAGCUUGCUUGAUGUGCCUUAUUUUGCAGCUGGAAGUGGACUCACUAGAUUUCAUCUUUACAGUUACAAAAUCAGAACAUAAUCAAAACAGACCAUAGUACCCACAAACACAAGGCAAACUUUCAAAACUUACUGCAAUAAUCAACCAACAGACGUCAAAUUUCAAAGAUUGGCACAUUCAUAUGUGAAAGAGAACAAGGAUAGUCACAAGCAUGUGAAUUGAUUGAGAGCCAGCGGUAUAAUUCUUCAAAUACUACUAGUUACUACAAAAACAAUCAGCAUACAAACAAGUUAACAUACUCCUUCACACCUAUGGAAAGUACCGCAACAAAACUAUACAAUGAAAGAGCAAUUCCUUGAGGUUUAUCCUGCAGUCUUCAAAAACUAUACAAUUAUUGUAUCCUUCACACCUAUGGAAAGUACCGCAACAAAACUAUACAAUGAAAGAGCAAUUCCUCGAGGUUUAUCCUGCAGUCUUCAAAAACUAUACAAUUAUUGUACUAAAUGAAACAGCAAACCCACAUGUUCAAAAUCAACCAACAGACGUCAAAUUUCAAAGAUUGGCACAUUCAUAUGUGAAAGAGAACAAGGAUAGUCACAAGCAUGUGAAUUGAUUGAGAGCCAGCGGUAUAAUUCUUCAAAUACUACUAGUUACUACAAAAACAAUCAGCAUACAAACAAGUUAACAUACUCCUUCACACCUAUGGAAAGUACCGCAACAAAACUAUACAAUGAAAGAGCAAUUCCUCGAGAGUUAUCCUGCAGUCUUCAAAAACUAUACAAUUAUUGUACUAAAUGAAACAGCAAACCCACAUGUUCAAAAUCAACCAACAGACGUCAAAUUUCAAAGAUUGGCACAUUCAUAUGUGAAAGAGAACAAGGAUAGUCACAAGCAUGUGAAUUGAUUGAGAGCCAGCGGUAUAAUUCUUCAAAUACUACUAGUUACUACAAAAACAAUCAGCAUACAAACAAGUUAACAUACUCCUUCACACCUAUGGAAAGUACCGCAACAAAACUAUACAAUGAAAGAGCAAUUCCUCGAGAGUUAUCCUGCAGUCUUCAAAAACUAUACAAUUAUUGUAUCCUUCACACCUAUGGAAAGUACCGCAACAAAACUAUACAAUGAAAGAGCAAUUCCUCGAGGUUUAUCCUGCAGUCUUCAAAAACUAUACAAUUAUUGUAUCCUUCACACCUAUGGAAAGUACCGCAACAAAACUAUACAAUGAAAGAGCAAUUCCUCGAGGUUUAUCCUGCAGUCUUCAAAAACUAUACAAUUAUUGUAUCCUUCACACCUAUGGAAAGUACCGCAACAAAACUAUACAAUGAAAGAGCAAUUCCUCGAGGUUUAUCCUGCAGUCUUCAAAAACUAUACAAUUAUUGUAUCCUUCACACCUAUGGAAAGUACCGCAACAAAACUAUACAAUGAAAGAGCAAUUCCUCGAGGUUUAUCCUGCAGUCUUCAAAAACUAUACAAUUAUUGUACUAAAUGAAACAGCAAACCCACAUGUUCAAAAUCAACCAACAGACGUCAAAUUUCAAAGAUUGGCACAUUCAUAUGUGAAAGAGAACAAGGAUAGUCACAAGCAUGUGAAUUGAUUGAGAGCCAGCGGUAUAAUUCUUCAAAUACUACUAGUUACUACCAAAAAAUAAAUAAAAUAAAAAUAAAAAUAAAAACAAACAGCCUACUUCACCAAAAACUAAAUAAGGCACACAAGUCAGCUUUCUAUAACAUAAGACAGGAAAUAAUUACUUAGAGCCUGCAAGGGAUUUCAGUUAACAACACUACCGGACCACUGAAUUUAUAUAAACAACUUAAAUCAAGAAAACCAACAAUAUUUGCACAAGUUAUCCUAUUAGCAUCUGUCACGGUUCCAAGUUCAAUCUUCUUCCAUCUAUAACACCCAAAAAGCUGCAGAAGAAACUAAUAUUUAUGCCAAAGUUUAUAAGCUAUCAUAAGUUCAAAAGCAUACCCACUGAAACAAACUUGUUACCAAAACCAACAGCUGAAAAACUAAAAGAAACAUGCCCUGAUCUAUACUUUACAACAAUUACCAAAAUUUGAGAAUACUUGAUGAAUGCAAUACAUUUUAAAGUGGUGCCAAUUACACAAAAUAAUCUCACAGCUUUUUUACUUAUCAAAUUGAGAUAAUAAGAUAAGACAAUGAAUAACCCAAGAGGCCAAAUUUAGACAAUAAGAUUAGAAAAUGAGAUACUUUCUAUGAUAUUUCCAAGCACAUUACACCAAGGUUAUCAAAACAUAACAGAAACCUACAUCCUACUGCUAGAAAUUCCCAUAAAACUAGACAAAAGAUUACUGCAUAUUUAACCCAUACAUAAAACUGCCAAAUCUAUUAGGCCUUCUUUGGUGACUUGGUGGCUCUGGGCGUCGAUGCUUUCUCCUCGGAAGCAGUAGAUUUCUUAGGCAACAGAACUGGGUUAAUGUUGGGGAGAACACCUCCACUUGCAAUGGUAACCCCAGCCAACAAUUUUCCCAGCUCUUCAUCAUUCCUCACUGCCAACAGCAAAUGCCUUGGAAUAAUCCUCGUUUUCUUGUUGUCUCUUGCUGCAUUUCCAGCCAACUCCAACACCUAUUAAAUAAAAUGAAUAGAUUAUUAUAAAAAUCAAUAGAAAAUUACAGAUCUGAGAUAAUUUAUUGGGUUUAUUAUACCUCAGCAGCGAGGUAUUCAAGAACAGCAGCGAGGUAAAUAGGAGCACCAGAUCCAACACGCUGAGCAUAACGACCUUUCUUCAAGAAACGAGCAAUACGACCAACUGGGAACUGAAGACCAGCUUUCACAGACUUAGUUACAGCCUUCUUCCUUGGGCCACCCUUCCUUCCUGCUGCACCUUUGGUUUGCUUAGCAGCAUCCAUUUCGACAAACAAACAAUAAGAUUUGAAGAGAGAAAAUUGCUUCUAGUGAUUUCCGCUUUGAGAAUUGAAUGCUGAUGAAGAAAAUGAAACGGUGGAGUUUGGUAUUUAUAGGAUAGAGAUGGAUUGCCACGCUGGCGAUCCGCGUGAGUGGUAUUGUUCUUUGACGGUGUGGAUUUGUUGUUUUCAUGUUAGAUCGUACGGUUAGGAAAAGCUUAAAAGAUGGCGAUCCGUGGUUAAGGGAAACAGCGAAUGAUUUUGUGACACGCGUAUAUGUUUGGUGAAUUGCAGUAAGAGGUGAAUCGUGCGCGGGGAAUUUGAAUUUUACUAAAUUUAUUUUUUGCGCCUAUUUGUGAAAACUUUCUUAGCAAGAGAAAUAAAUGGGAUAAUUAUUUUUAUUCCUAAUUAAGUGCUAUUUAUAAUUUACCCGUCAAUCUCAAUAUCUCAUAUACAGUCAUUAACGAUUUUGCUCUUGGUUAUUAAAGACCCUAGCUCCUAAACUUUAUUAAUACUAUAACUAAAUUGUGAUUUUGACACCCAUCAACAUAAAAUUUGCAUGAAUAUAAAAUGAUCCUACUCACUAGUUUUUUUCCAUUUUUUAACUAAAUAAAAUUCUUACAAAAUAGCCAAGUAAAUCUUUUUUUAUGUUGAUAAGAAUUAGAGCAUAAAAGGGAUUUUGUCUAAUUUGGAUGCUUAUUUAGGAGGUGUCAAAAAGACUUAUCAGUAAUUUGAGAUCUUAAUAAAAUGAUUAUAUAAUUUAUUCAAUAUUAGGUAUAAAUAUAAAUCAAUGUUAUUAAACCUUACAGGGAGAAUUCAGAUAACUUAAGCAUUUCAUAAAGGCAUAAUAUUAUCAUCAAGUGAUAGAGAUAUAAAGGCAACACAAUGCACUAAACUUCUCAUUGUGUGCGAGGUUAACACAGAAAAUCUUAAAAUAGUAAAAUGUCAUAAUUGAGAUCGGAACUUGUGAUGGAUCUGUUUGGCACUUUUUGUCAUGUCAUAGGUAUAAAUUUCAUAUACUCGAACUUCAACUUGCAAGAUAUCGCUAUUUGAUUUAGACCACUUCAAAUCUCCUCGCCUUGACAACCUAUCACAGUAGAAUAAAUGAAUAUCUAGACAGUAGGGGUGUGCAAAAACCAAAUUGACCGAUAAAAAUGCUAUUGGGUUAUUGGUUAAACCGAUAAUCUAAUAAGGAUACAUUAAGUUAUUGUUUUACCCCUAUUUAUGUUAUAUAUAUAUAUAUAUAUAUAUAUAUGGAGUCUAAUACUUCUAACCAUGUUUGGAAAAUUCCGUUAGUUUUUCAAAGUUUGAAGUAUUUAGUAGCUUCCGACAAUUAGGAUUCAUUUUUUUUUUCGAACCAACAUUCAGUUCAAGUUUGAAGAUUCUUGUAAACUAAAAUGCAUUGCGUAGGAUUUUGGCGGUAACUAAGAUUUCAUUUUUUUGAUAUUGGUUGUUACUAUUUCUAUUUUAAAUGUAUUUUCUUAUUGGUUAAACCAAAAAUCGAACCGUUAAAGACUAAAAAUCAAUGAACCGAAAACUGAUAAGAAAAUAUCUUAUUGGUUGGUUAUUGGUUUUACAAAUUGAAAAACCGAUAAAUCAAACUAAUAACAUGUAAAACCGAACCGACCAAUGCACGCCCCUACUAACCAAGUACUUCUUUUAACAUCUCGUAUUACAUUGUUAAUUUUGUGGUAUGUAUCAAUAGAGACGCAAUAUGUAAGGAUAACUUUAAUAUGACUUUUAUCUUAUUUCUCUUUUUCUUUAUGCUCUUACUUAUUUGAUGUUUCCUCCCUUUUAAUUCAAGUAUCUAAUCAUUGCGUAGGAUUUUGGCGGUAACUAAGAUUUCAUUUUUUUGAUAUUGGUUGUUACUAUUUCUAUUUUAAAUGUAUUUUCUUAUUGGUUAAACCAAAAAUCGAACCGUUAAAGACUAAAAAUCAAUGAACCGAAAACUGAUAAGAAAAUAUCUUAUUGGUUGGUUAUUGGUUUUACAAAUUGAAAAACCGAUAAAUCAAACUAAUAACAUGUAAAACCGAACCGACCAAUGCACGCCCCUACUAACCAAGUACUUCUUUUAACAUCUCGUAUUACAUUGUUAAUUUUGUGGUAUGUAUCAAUAGAGACGCAAUAUGUAAGGAUAACUUUAAUAUGACUUUUAUCUUAUUUCUCUUUUUCUUUAUGCUCUUACUUAUUUGAUGUUUCCUCCCUUUUAAUUCAAGUAUCUAAUUUAUAUUUAUUUAUUUUGUUUGUUUUCUAAAAAAAAUGUAUAUUUAGUAAUAUUUUAAUUUUAAUAUUUUAUAUGAUUUAUUUAAAAUCAUAAGAUUCAAAAAGAUCUUUUGAUCCAUUACAUAUAUCUUUGAUUAAAACUAAAAGGAAUAGAAAAACUCCCUUAUUUUCUCAAUUCAUGUAUCUAGCCAGACAUCACACUUGAAUUACAGUUAAAAUAAUACGUAGUUUAUGAUCUUUUAAACCUUCUAUCCUAUUUUUCUAGUUAACUCCAACAUUAGGUAUUCGUCGGUUAUAAAUGGUUAAUGUUAAUAAUUGAUGGUAGUGGUUGAAGAAUGUAUGGUAGUUGAGGGUAAUAAUAGUUGUAAUCAUAGAGGUGGUUGGGUGUUAGUUGAUAAUGGUGGUGAGGUGGCAGCAACGACAUUGACAUUGGUGGUGUUGGCUAAAGAAAAUACGGUGGUAGACGAUGUAUUUAUGGUAGUUAACCGCAAUUCUAAUUGUGAUAAUGGGGUGGCUAAUUGUAGGGAUUGAUCAUAAUAAUGACGGUGGCUGAUAGCGAUAGCAACAGUGAGAACGACAAUAUAUAUCGUUAUAAUGAUAGAGGUAGUAAGCAUUGUAGCAGCUAUUGACAAUGAUAUUUGCAUGUGGUGGUACUUGUCUGUGGUAGUUGUGCUGGCGGAGGUUGCCGAUUUGUGGUGGUGUCUCAAUGAUGAAAAUUGUGGUUGACAGUAGUAGUAGCUAAUAAUUAUGGUAAGAGUGGUGAUAAAAAAUAUCAAUAUAAAAAUACUUUUUGAUGAUAUUAAGACCUAUUAAGGGUUGAAUCUAAGUGAAUUGAAUGCAUCAUUAAUAAAUGUACUCAAUGAUCUAAUAUAUGGAUGACUCAAAUUCAGACAUUCAUUAAGUGAAAACAAAUACAAGUAACUUAAAUCUCAACAAAAACAAAUAUAUAGUAGCUCAAAUUCAACUCAUCAAGUGCAAAUAUAUUGGGUGAUCAUGGUUUGGUUUUUAAUUAAUAUCAAAUUGAAACCAAUUUAGUCAAUUUUUAAAUUUCUAAAACUGCGUCGAACUUUAAUAAAAUAAAAUCUUUGAUUUGGUUGUUGUUGGUUUUGUUCGAUUUUCAAUUUAGCUAAUGAUAAAUUGAUAAUACUAAACCAACAGAGAAAUGAGAUGGCUCUUUCAAAUGAACAUUAGGACUCAACAACAUUCUCUCUAACAUCACAAGUUAAAUGUGUUCAAAUCUUUUCUUAGUUUUCAAUAGUAUUUUAAAACUUUAACAUGUUUAAGUUGUAUAACUAUAGAUGUUUUCCCAUUUCACAUGUCUAACAUCCACUAAAUGUACAAUUUUAAAUAAAAUGAUCAAGCCGUAAAAAAACAAAGGGGCAAGCUGCUGGAGAUGGAUAUUUUUAGCAAAUAAAAAUAAAAAUCAUUAAUACACCACACCACACCACAUAUAUACAUUUGGACUUAGACUACAUUUAUUUUUAUUAAGAUCAAGACGUCUGAAUCUGAAUGUAUAUCUGAAUAAUUAAGAUUUUUGUCUCUAAAUUUGAAAUUGAAUGAUUAAAACUGUUUAUCUUUUCAAUAUUUGAAUAUGCAUAGCUUAUUUAUUUGUAAACAUAAUAAAUAUAUAAUUUAAUUAAUUAAUUAGUCAAAUCUUAAAAAAAUAUCAAUCUAAUAAAGUGUAAUAAUUAUUUAAUAAAAAAAUUAUAUUUGCCAGUGACGAUGGAGAUGAUUUGUAAUGACAAUGGUGGUCAUAAUAGUUGGUGUUAGUGGAUAAAAGUGGUGGUGAUAAUAGUUAUGGUGGUGAAACUGGCUAGUUUUUGUAGUGACUGUCGUAUAUGAUAGCAUUUGAUAGUGAUGGGGUGGUUGUGAUGUGAAGUUGAUUGAUGUUAGUAGUUGGAGAUGUUGAUAGUGGUGGUUGACAUAUGUAUGUAUGAUGAUUGACAAUGUUCCAAUGGUAAUUGGAGACCCUGUUAGUGGUUGAUAAUUAUGGUAAAGGUAGUGACACCAAUGACAAUAAUGAUGAUAGUGGGCUGAUUUUGGUGUAUUUAUACGCCUAAGCACCAUAACUUAUCCAUAUUUUAGCUAAGUUUAGAGAACAAAGUGCGUAGUUUCUUAUGUUUUUACUCUACUUCUAUGUAAUUGAGCUAACUGAUGUGAUUAGCAUGAUUUCAAGUAUUAAUGAGGUAGAUGAAGACAUAAUGGGACUAUGAAAUGCGGAUGACAUAUGACACAAGAGAGAGUAGCAAUCUGGACCAAAUGUGGCACCUAGAAACUAUGUCCAAGACUAAUUUAUCAUUUAUAAUUAGUUCAGGCACUUAGAAGGAAAUUAUGAGAGAAGAGAUUAUUAAAAGACUUAAUUGUUGAAUUUUUAUUCACAAUUCAUUAUUCUGUAUUAUUCUGAGAGAGGAGAAAGACGGCUUAGCUUGAGGAAAGAGAGAGAAAUAUUUUUCUCUCUUAUUUUUACUAUUCGCACACCAAGAUCGUCUUCUAAUUUUUGGUAUGAUGAAUAUAUUUAUGAUGCUUUUCGUUUUAUUCAUGAGUAACUAAGUUUAUUAGUUAGGGUUAUGGAAGACUUGUAGUAUACAAUCUAUCACUCUGGGUUUUGAAUUCAUUAUGCAUUGAUUUGUUUACAUCAUACUCUCUUCGCUUAUCUUGAAUUCUCGUGGUUGCAAACAUAGAGGAUAUGCCUUAAAACGCAACUUGUUCGAAAGAAAGGUUGAUGUUCGGAAAAGAGAGUAGUGAUAAGAAAAUAGUAUUACCAACCCCUAUUUUAUAAGUUAAUACCUUAGCAAGAUUAACUACUUGGAGAUUUCAUAUUUUUUUUGGUGAACGCUUUUGAUUCGAGAGAACUAAAGUGAAUUAGUCCUUGAUGGUUGAGAAACACCAGGACUAUGUUAUUAAAUACAAUACAUUUCUCUGUAAGCUUGAUCCAUGUAUGAAUUCAUAAAGCCCAUAGUUAGUAAGUAUUGAAAACUACAAGGUGGACAUAACCCUAGCUUGCUAUUUCUCUGAAUUUGAAUACUACUACACAUAUUUCAUCUUGUUAAACUAAAACCAUUAAUUUGUGAACUGAAUCAAAUUUCCCCUAUUUAUUUUACGUAAACGAACUAUUAAAAGUCAACUAAUCUGCAUACAACUUAAUUAACACCAUAUUCCCAAUGGGAUUCUACCCCAACCUAGUUGGGUUAUAUUUGACAAUGACCGCUUACUCUCUCGUAAGAGAGGUGUAAUUUGGACGUAUCAUGGGCGAAGAAUGUGUAAAGAUUGAUGAUGUAUUAAUGGUAUUUGACGGUGAUACUAGUUGUGAUAGAUGAGUUAGUUGGUGGUAAGGAUUGACCCGACAGUGGUUGAUGGUGGUGACGGUGGAGAUAAUUAGAAAAAUGAAAGUGGUAUGUGAGGUAGCGUCCACCAGUAAUGCUUGGUAGUAGUUUUGGUUGUCAAUGGUGAUUGUGAUGGUAAAUGUGGUGGUGACUGGUGAUGGCAGAGAUGGUUAGUGGUGGUGACUGGUGAUUGUGGAUAGAAUGGUGAUGAAUAUUAUCCAUCACAAGAAUAUCUUUUAAUAAUAUUAAGACUUGGUUUAUAUCUAAAUGACUCUGACCUAUCUAGACAUAUUAAAAGUUAAAAUCUUAAUAAAAACAAGCGCACUCAAUGGUUUGAGGUCUGAACCAUUCAGACCUCCAUUAAGUGCAAACAAAAGAAGCCUUAGAUUCUUUUGUCUAUACGAGAUGAAAUCAUGCAAUUUCGAUACAGAUUCUCAAUAAAUAAGUAAAAGUUCACAAUAAAGUAUCAUACAAUAUCACAAAGUUAUUCUAAAAUAGUACAACAUUUAUUGAUUAAAUUUUAGUUCAAUAAAAAAUAAAAUUGAACAUGAGUUGUAGUGUAGUAUUGUUUUUUAACUUAAUUCCGCACACAAUACAGACAAACUCCUCACAUUGAAUAUGCAUUCUCAAUUAGAUAACAGAGAUGGACCAAAAUUGUUACUUUGAUCCAUUUGUUGGUCAAUAUCAUCAAUAACUAAAUCAUCAUAGCUGUAUUUUAUGAUUUUUCAAGAAGGACAAGUAACCGUUUAAAAAUCGUCAAUUCAAUAACUCAAUGUUGAUAAAUCAAUAACAUUUUUUGAUUCGAUCUUUGCAUGACAAAUUACAUUUGAAUAAAAUGGUUGGUUGAUAUAGAAUGUUUUUUUUUUUUUACAAAUCAUAAACUUAUGUGUUGUUAUAAAUGUAUUUACAUUAUAGUGAAUGCCUAUCAAGAUCUAUUAAGAUCUACUUUGAUAUCUAUUAGGAUUUGAAGCAUCCGUCUUUUACUCAGACGAGGAGUAAAUUUCCCCUAUAAAUAGAGGGGUUUUAUUCAUUGUAUUGACAAUCUUAUGAUCUCUCAUCCUUCAAAGAGAAAAAAUAAGAAUAACUCUCUCUAUUCUCUCUACUCUUCUUCUUGUUCUUUCUUAUUUUAUAACACGUUAUCAACACGAAGUUGUAACCAAUUGAGUAAUAAUUGAGAUAAAGCCGCCCAAAAUGUGAUCUGUCAAUUGCUCAACAUGCUUGAGGUAUUAUUUUUCUUUUAAUAAUUCCUCAUGAGGUAUGAUUUCUUUUAUUAAAUAAUUCCUUUAUUUUGUUCCGAUAUGGCAAAGAGCAAUAGAUCCACGAUUGGGACAAUGCACUGUUUUAAUAUUUACAUUACUGCUACUUUGAAAGAAAAAAAAAACUAAUUAAUACUUCAUUGAAUAAUUUUGAUUUGAAAAGAAGAAAUAUAAAAGAGUUACAUGCAAAGGUCCAUGCAUAUCUAAAAUUGCGUGAUGCGGUAGAUUGAUUGAAAAUUUCUUCUCUCUGUCUGCGUAUGCUUUACACAUUUUAUAUAUUUUUAUAUUAUAUUAUUAUAUCAUAUCUAUUGACAUUAACUCUUCUAUAUAAUUCAAGGUCAGUAAUUUCUUAUGUUAUCUGUAUUUUGUUACUAAUAAUAUAAUUAUUGUUGGAUUUGAGGAAAAAUAAUUGGUUUGGAACCAUUUAUGUUUAAAAUUUAUUCCUCAAGAACAAUAUUGUCAAAAAAAUAAUAAUAUAUUGGGUUCAAGUCCCAUCGAUUCAUGCCUAAGACGUCUUUAUAUGGAUCAAAUAUUGAGUUUGAAUCUCAAUACACCAUAUUGAUGAUAGUGUGAUGGACAAGGCAAAAUGAUGGGUGUUUGAUGAAAAGUCAUGAAAUUCGACCCAUUGAAUAUGCUCCAUUCCAUGAAGUGAAGGUGGUAGCAAUACAUGAUAAGUCUGAAGUAUGACAACUCACUUCCGAAUGAGGAAGAAUAAUUGAUUGAUUGUGAUGGUAUCACAACUCACCUCCGAAUGAGGAAGAAUAACUGAGAAUUGAUUGUGAUGGUGUCACAACUCACCUCCGAAUGAGGAAGAAUAAUUGAGAAAAAUUAUUUUGAAAUCUACUUCUAAAGUAGUAAAUCUGAAAUUUAUUCAUAUAAUAGUAAAUCUGAAAUUUACUAAAGCAAAAACACAUAUCAUGGUAAACUUGGAGUUUACUAGAAUAAACGUUCAUAAAUUGACAUGAAUGAUUGCGAUAUCUCGAAGAUAUGCAUACUGAGUAUUGAACAUAUAUAGAAGAAUUAGAAAAUUCUUUAUGAACUUGCUUGUUCUCAUCAUAAGUUGGUUGAACCAACUAAUUUUGAUAUUGGAUCCCUCAAAAUCUGAAAAGUAUAAAAGGUGAAUAAGGGUCCGUUCACCUAUCAUGUGAUAUGUUGAAAAGAUGCAUCAAUAAGAUGAUCACAUGUGCCUUCAUGGUCAACCUACGUUUGAUAUUCAUAAAGUUACUUGUUCAAUAUAAAUUGAGUAUGGUUUUCAGAUUGUGUAAUCAAGAUAAUUCAUCUUGAUGAUGAUGGUUUAGCAUUGAAUGCCUUCCAUAAAUAGUUGAACCAUUACUAAUGAGAACAAAGUUUCCUGCAUUGGUGUGAAAUAUGAUAUAUUGCAUACAAUAACACUUGUAUGCAUUAGACCAAUAUAUUAUGAUUAUUUCUCCCCUCUCAAUUGGUUCAAGGUCAGGAACCAACUAUUCCAUCUAAUAGUUUUGAUGUGCGGUAUAUGAUUAAUAAAUAUACCAUGAUGCAUAAAGAUGGAUUCCUUAAAGAAGACGAAGGAUGUAUGUUAGUUUUCCUACCAUAAGGGGGAGAUUAUAAGCAGCUAUGAAAUAUGUUAGGAAUUAUCAUCAGAUCCUCAUUCAAAAGAUAAUUCAAGUCAAAUGUCGAAAGCAUCUCAUAUUUAGCUGCAAGUGCUCCUAUUUUAUGUCCUUAGAGGAUAAAGUCUAUGUAUGCAUGAAGUAUGAUAGACCAAUUGGUUCCAAAUGAAAUAAUCUUUGAAAAGGAUAUGGAGCAAAUAAUCAUAAUAAGAAGACAAUGAGCCCUUGAAGAGCCUACGAUAUAACACUUCAUGAAACCUUAUGAGAGGUUCAUGUACCUGAAAUAAUGAAGUAAUGAGAUCUCAAAAUGCUAUGUCGCAUUGUGAACCGAUACUAAGUGAUAUAUCAUCAAUAUAUUUGACACAAUAUUGGCGCAAUAUUGUGAAAGAUUACGAGGAUCUUAAUUCUACGUUAAUUUAAGUAUGCAGAUGUAGAAAUAUUUAUCAAGUGACAUGAAAGGAUGCAUCUUGGUAAGUAUUAAACUUAUUUGAUUUGCAAUCCAAAUAUUUGAAGACGUCACUCAUGAAAUGUUGAAUAUUGUCACUUGAUAAAACUUAUGUGAAAAACUUCUUCAAGGAUUCAAAAUAUAAAAGUUUUUGGGAAACUUAUUGAUAAUCCUUAUAUUGUAUAAGCUUAUAGCUUGAAAAUUAUUGAAAUUCUUGGAGAGUUUUCAAAAGCAAUAAGAUUAUUUGCUGAAAUAAGAAAUAUACCAAUUUGGAUUGGUUAUGAAGUACCAUAUAUUAGUACAAUUGAUGCACUUAUGUAUCUUGUAAUACUACAAGACCCAAUAUAGCCUUUUGCUCAAUUUGUUAGCAAGGUAUAUUUCUACUCCUACUAGGAGACAUUGAAAUGGGAUAAGAUACAUGAGUUUAUUUUAUUCUAAAGAUUGCAGUCUCAAUCUUAUUGGUCAUGCUGAUAUUGGGUACUUAUCUGACCCGCAUAAAGCUCGGUCUCAAAUAGGCUAUGUGUUCAUAUGUGGUGGUACUGCAAUAUCUUGGAGAUAUACAAAGCAGUCUAUCAUAGUCACUUCAUUGAAUCAUGCUGAGAUAAUAGCUAUUCAUGAAGCAAGCCGAGAAUGUGUAUGGUUGAGGUCCAUGAUACAUCUCAUUCAAGAAAAAUGUGGUGUGAAAUAUGACAAUCUACCCACAAUUUUAUACAGAGAUAAUUCAGCAUACAUAGCACAUCUUAAGGGAGGAUUCAUAAAUGGAGAUAAAACAAAGCACAUUUUGUCAAAGCUUAUCUACAUACAUGAGCUACAAAAGAAUGAUGAUAUUAACGUGCAACGGAUUCGGUCAACUGUCAAUGUGACUAUUUAUUCACCAAAUCUUCUCCAAUUGCAACUUUUCAGAAGAUGCUGCACAAGAUCGAGAUGUAAAGGUCAAGGAUGUUCUCAUCAGGGGGAGUUAAUAUGCGCUGUACUCUUUUUCCCUUAUGAGGUUUUGUCCCAUUGGGUUUUCCUUGUAAGAUUUUUAAUGAGGCAGCCGAAAUACGUAUUAUUAGAGAUGUGUACUCUUUUUUCCUCACUAGAUUUUUUUCCUACUUGGUAUUUUCUAGUAAGGUUUUAACGAGGCACAUUAUUUACCAAUUAGACAUUCAAAGGGGAGUGUUAUAAAUGUAUUUACAUUAUAGUGAAUGUCUAUCAAGAUCUAUCAAGAUCUACUUUGAUAUCUAUUAAGAUUUAAAACAUCUGUCUUUUACUCAGACGAAGAGUAAAUUUUCCCUAUAAAUAGAGGAAUUUUGUUCACUGUAUUGAUAAUCUUAUGAUCUCUCAUCCUUCAAAAAGAAGAAAUAAGAAUAACUCUCUCUAUUCUCUCUACUCUUCUUCUUGUUCUUUCUUGUUUUAUAACAUGUGUCAAAUUUUAAAUUUUUAAAAUUUGAUAUCAUGAUAUAAAAUUUCAUUUUUUUCUGAGAGUUUUGGUAUUUUUGGUCUAAUGAUUUGAAAUUAUGAGAUAAAAUCGCAUGUCUAAAUGCUGAUUUUAUCUCAUGAUUUCAAGUCACGAGAUGAAAUCAUAUUUCUAAAGGCACAUAUGUUUUAAGAAGAAAUUUAAAAAUCUUGCAAUAUAUGUAUAAAAAUAUUUAUAAAAAAAACUAAUAUCAUUCAUGUAUUCAAAUUAUGAAAUUUAUUCAUAUAAUUUAUUUGUUCAAUAUCCUUCUUUCAUUUUCAGCUAAAUCAAAAUCUAAACGAAACCAAAUAUUGUUAGAUUUUUAAAAUUUUAAACCAAACAACAAAUGUCCCCUUUAAAAAAAAAAAUCAUUUGGUUUGAUUUUUGAUUGUAGCAAAAAGAUGUAUCCUAAAAUGACUAAACGACGUCGUACAUAUAUUUCCAGCGUUUAAUUUAGGCGGGGCAAUUGGCGCGGAUCCAAUUUGCGUUUGUUUAACGGUAGGGUUCUCACUCUUCUUCUCCGUAGAAAGGUAAUCUCAUUGUCCCCUAUAAUAUUCGCAAUUAAGCACACUAAUCAGAUCGAUGGAGUAUUAUUUAGAACUAAUGCUAUUGGUAAAUUCCAUCUUAAAUUAAAAAAUAUUGAUCAAUUAGUAGUGUUAGGGAAAUUUGAACACCUAAUAUUACUUGGCGAUAAUUGGGUGAUUAUGAAAGUAAAAUGUCUAGUUUGAAAAUCUUUUAUUUAUUCAUAUUCUUGAUUGAAUUUAGAGAAUAAUUAGAUUAUCAGUGUUAUUUUAAGUGAUUGCAGCAUGAAAAUUACUACUCCAUCCGUUCAGUUUUAAUUGUCAUGUUUGGCUUCUCGAAAGUCAAAAUUGUAUGAACUUUGACCAAUUUAUUUUCUCAUUAUAUUAAUAUAGUUUUUGAAUAUCUUUAAAUUUUAAAAUAUUGAAUUAACCUAAUUCAAUUUAGCUCCGAAGAUUAAUCAAAUUGGCUCUCUUGAAGCAAUAUGUGAAGAGUAAAAUUGAAUGGAGGAAGUACUGUGUUUUUUAUACCUAAACGUCAAUGUAGCUGUAUGUGAGUUUUUUUCACUAACUUCAGAAGUUUACAAUUUGCUUGAUUUCACUUCAAUGUGGAAUCUCUGAUUUUUUCUGUGUAUGUGUAGUCUUAGCCGCAUUGUUGUUGAAGCAAUUAUUAGAGCGAAAUUAAAUGGACCCAGACCAAGUUGUUGCUGAAUUGGUUGGAAUGGGAUUUGAGUUAUCUGAUAUUACAAAUGCUAUAGAAGUUGUGGGUCCAUCAAUUGAUGCUGCCAUUGAUUAUCUACUCGAUGAUUCUCGAAGAGACACUGCGAGUGCAUCAACUAGUAAUUCACGUUUCACCAGUCAUGCCGGUCCUCUGGGAAAAAGAGGCCCCAAUUCUACAUCGCGUGCUGCAGGCAAAAUACGACAAUCAAGCAUAAAUGAAUUCGUUGAAUCAGCUGGUAGACCUAAAAGAAGCAAGACAAUGAAUAAGUUGGAUCUGUCUCAAUCAGAAGUCCUGCAAAGAGAUACCAAAGAUCGAAAUGUGCAUCCUCCUAUAGAGGAUUCUGAUCUCCGCAUUGCAACUGAAAAGGCUGUAUUAUCAUCUUAUAGCAAAGAUGAAGAUGUUGGACCAGAUUGGCAAAAGAAGGUUGAGAAUUUGUUGCAGAAGCACUUUGGAUUUUCAUUGUUGAAGGAUUUUCAGAAAGAAGCUCUGGAAGCUUGGUUAUCUCACCGUGACUGUCUUGUUCUUGCAGCAACAGGAUCAGGUAUUAGCCUUUCAUACUUUUCCUUCGCCAUUCUCCCUCUUCCUGUAAAAUACGAUUUUUCGGUGUCUCAGAGUUAUGUUUCUGUAGGGCAAUCUUUGUGUUUUCAGAUUCCUGCAUUGCUGACCGGGAAGGUUGUCAUUGUUAUAUCACCUUUGAUUAGCUUGAUGCAUGAUCAGUGCUUGAAGUUAGCAAAUCAUGGUGUUUCUGCUUGCUUCCUUGGAUCUGGUCAAACUGAUCGAAGUGUUGAACAAAAAGCAAUGUCAGGCAUGUAUAGCAUCAUUUAUGUAUGCCCUGAGACAAUUUUAAGGUAUUGAGCAUGUACUCUUGAAUGGUACUUCAAGGAUAGUGUUGGCUGUUAUUGACAAAUGAGUUCCUGACUUUGUUUUUUUCCAGACUCAUUAAACCCCUCCGAAGCCUCGCAGAAAGUCGUGGAAUUGCUCUAUUUGCAAUCGAUGAAGUUCAUUGUGUUUCGAAGUGGGGUCAUGAUUUUCGGCCAGAUUACAGGUUUAUGUUCUUUUGGUUAUCUCUCAAAAGUGUAACCUAACGGCUCUCAUCUCUCUCUAACGGCUCUCUCUCUUCCUCCCUACCCCCUCUCUCGCUAGCUCCGGUCACCGGCCCCCGUCGUCGUCGCCGACCCGACCCAACCUCCGGGCCCGACCUCCGGCGNNNNNNNNNNNNNNNNNNNNNNNNNNNNNNNNNNNNNNNNNNNNNNNNNNNNNNNNNNNNNNNNNNNNNNNNNNNNNNNNNNNNNNNNNNNNNNNNNNNNNNNNNNNNNNNNNNNNNNNNNNNNNNNNNNNNNNNNNNNNNNNNNNNNNNNNNNNNNNNNNNNNNNNNNNNNNNNNNNNNNNNNNNNNNNNNNNNNNNNNNNNNNNNNNNNNNNNNNNNNNNNNNNNNNNNNNNNNNNNNNNNNNNNNNNNNNNNNNNNNNNNNNNNNNNNNNNNNNNNNNNNNNNNNNNNNNNNNNNNNNNNNNNNNNNNNNNNNNNNNNNNNNNNNNNNNNNNNNNNNNNNNNNNNNNNNNNNNNNNNNNNNNNNNNNNNNNNNNNNNNNNNNNNNNNNNNNNNNNNNNNNNNNNNNNNNNNNNNNNNNNNNNNNNNNNNNNNNNNNNNNNNNNNNNNNNNNNNNNNNNNNNNNNNNNNNNNNNNNNNNNNNNNNNNNNNNNNNNNNNNNNNNNNNNNNNNNNNNNNNNNNNNNNNNNNNNNNNNNNNNNNNNNNNNNNNNNNNNNNNNNNNNNNNNNNNNNNNNNNNNNNNNNNNNNNNNNNNNNNNNNNNNNNNNNNNNNNNNNNNNNNNNNNNNNNNNNNNNNNNNNNNNNNNNNNNNNNNNNNNNNNNNNNNNNNNNNNNNNNNNNNNNNNNNNNNNNNNNNNNNNNNNNNNNNNNNNNNNNNNNNNNNNNNNNNNNNNNNNNNNNNNNNNNNNNNNNNNNNNNNNNNNNNNNNNNNNNNNNNNNNNNNNNNNNNNNNNNNNNNNNNNNNNNNNNNNNNNNNNNNNNNNNNNNNNAGUGGGGGGCGCGUGGAUAGCGACGGUAGGCUGAGGGUUGGGUCUUGGAAUAUAGGGACCCUUCAGGGGAAGUCCAUAGAGCUGGUGAAGAUUCUUAGGAAGAGAAGGAUCAACCUUGCGUGUGUCCAAGAGACCAAGUGGGUAGGGUCUAAGGCUAGGGAUGUGGACGGUUACAAGCUGUGGUACUCUGGGAGCGACAGGCGUAGGAAUGGAGUUGGCAUCUUGGUAGAUGAAGAGCUUAGAGGUCAGGUAGUGGAGGUGAAGAGGAUCAACGAUAGGUUGAUGACUAUCAAGUUGGUCAUUCGGGGGUUUACCCUGAACGUGUGUAGUGCCUAUGCGCCGCAUGUGGGAUCGGAGGGGGAGGAGAAGAUGCGGUUCUGGGAGGCCUUGGAGGACGUGGUGAGAGGCGUGCCCAGUUCGGAGAAGAUUGUGGUAGCAGGGGAUUUCAACGGGCACAUCGGGGCGCUACCGGGAGGCUUUGGGGAUGUGCAUGGAGGUUUUGGUUUUGGGGAGAGAAAUGAAGAGGGGGCGACCCUAUUGGAGUUUGCGAGGGCGUUUGGGCUGGUGGUGGUGAACUCGGGCUUCCCGAAGAAGGACGACCACCUGAUCACUUUUCGGAGCGCGGUAGCCAGGACCCAGAUUGACUUCUUGUUGCUUAGGAAAGGGGAUAGGGCGCUGUGUAAAGAUUGUAAAGUCAUCCCGAGUGAGAACCUUUCGACCCAACAUAGGCUCUUGGUUAUGGAUUUGGGUAUGAAGAAGAAUAAAAAGAGGAGGAGUAAGGAGUGUAGACCGAGAAUUAAGUGGGGCGGUUUGACGCCAGUGAAUGCGUGGGAGAUAGGGGAGAGGUUGGCGGGAAUGGGGGUGUGGGAGUGUAGGGGGGACGUGGAUAAUAUGUGGGACAGGGCGGCAGCGUGCAUCAGGGAAAAUGCAAGGGAGGUGUUGGGUGUUUCUAGGGGCCGGGCCGGACAUCAUCGGGGGGAUUGGUGGUGGAAUGAAGAGGUGGGGAAGAAAGUGGAGACCAAGAAAGAGUCGUAUGCUAAGUUGGUGGAAAGUAAGGACGAAGAGGAGAAGCGGGUAAACAGGAAAGAGUACAAGCUAGCGAGGAAGGAGGCGAAGUCAGCGGUCACGGCAGCUAAGACGGCUGCUUUUGAGAGCUUGUAUGCAGGGUUACAGGGGAAAGGAGGGGAGAAAAAGUUGUUCCGACUCGCUAAGGCUAGGGAGAGGAAGGGUCGUGACCUCGAUCAGGUGAGGUGCAUUAAGGGGGAGGACGGUAGAGUGUUGGUGGAGGACGGCCACAUUAAGAAGAGAUGGCAGUCAUACUUUCAUUGGCUCUUGAAUGACGAAGGAGAUAUAGCUAUUGUGUUAGGGGAACUGGAGCACUCAGAGGAGUGUCGGGAUUUUAGCUAUUGUAGACGUUUUAAGGUAGAAGAGGUUAGACAGGCUGUCCGCAGGAUGCGAAGGGGUAGGGCGACGGGGCCGGAUGAGAUACCGGUGGCGUUUUGGAAGUUCGUUGGAGAGGCUGGUGUAAGGUGGUUGACUGGAUUGUUUAAUGAAAUUUUCAGGACGGCAAAGAUGCCCGAGGCGUGGAGGUGGAGUACCAUGAUCCCUCUCUAUAAGAAUAAGGGGGACAUUCAGAGUUGUAAUAACUAUAGGAGGAUUAAGUUAUUGAGUCACUCGAUGAAAAUCUGGGAGAGAGUGAUCGAGGUGAGGCUGAGACGGAUAGUGUCUAUUUCGGAGAACUAGUUCGGAUUUAUGCCCGGCCGCUCGACGACGAAGGCAAUCCACCUGGUACGGAGGUUAGUGGAGCAGUAUAGGGAGAGGAAAAAGGAUCUGCACACGGUGUUUAUCGACCUGGAGAAGGCUUACGACAAAGUCCCCAGGGAGGUGCUUUGGAGAUGCUUGGAGGUGAGUGGGGUACCGCUGACAUAUAUCAGAGUAAUUAAGGAUAUGUAUGAUGGAGCGAAAACCCAGGUGAGGACGUUGGGAGGAGACUCGGAGCAUUCACUGUCCUGACAGGAUUGCAUCAGGGAUCUACUCUUAGUCCCUUUUUGUUUGCGUUGGUGAUGGAUGUGUUGACGCGGCGUAUUCAAGGGGAGGUGCCGUGGUGUAUGCUUUUUGCAGACGAUGUAGUUCUGAUAGAUGAGACUCGAGGGGGUUUGAAUGACAAAAUAGAGGUGUGGAGGCGAACUCUUGAGUCUAAAGAGUUCAGGGUGAGCAGAAGCAAGACAGAGUAUGUGGAAUGCAAGUUUAAUGACGUGAGGCGGGAGAAUGAGGUAGUAGUGAAGCUGGAAGCUCAGGAGGUAUGUAAGAGGGACAAGUUCAAGUAUCUUGGGUCCGUGAUCCAGAGUAACGGUGAGAUUGACGAGGAUGUCUCGCACCGUAUUGGAGCGGUAUGGAUGAAGUGGAAACUCGCGUCGGGGGUGCUGUGUGAUAAGAAGGUCCCCCCAAGCUUAAAGGCAAAUUCUACAGGGUGGUAGUCCGUCCGGCCUUGUUGUAUGGAGCGGAGUGUUGGCCAGUUAAGAACUCCCACAUCCAAAAAAUGAAGGUGGCAGAAAUGCGGAUGUUGCGCUGGAUGUGUGGACUGACUAGAGGGGAUAGAGUUCGGAAUGAGACUAUCCGGGAGAAGGUUGGUGUGACUUCAGUGGAGUGCAAGAUGCGGGAAGCACGAUUGAGAUGGUUCGGACACGUGAAGAGGAGGGGCAUGGAUGCCCCGGUCCGUAGGUGUGAGAGGCUAGCGUUGGAUGGUUUUAGGCGGGGUAGGGGUAGGCCGAAGAAGUACUGGGGUGAGGUGAUUAGGCGGGACAUGGAACAGUUACAGCUCACCGAGGACAUGACCCUAGAUAAGAAGGUCUGGAGGGCGCGAAUUUCGGACUUGGUGGGGGUUUUAUUCUUGUCAUGAUUCCGUGUUCCGUGUUCCAUGUUGUAUUACGAAUCUGUGUGCUUUCCCCUGCUUUCCUCUGCUUUAUAUUACUUAUGCGUGCCGUAUCUAUGUUAUGUAAUCUGCUUCUGUGCUGCACUAUGUGUUUGUGUGGUAUCUCGUGCCUUGAGCCGGGGGUCUAUCGGAAACAACCUUUCUACUUCAUCAGAGGUAGAGGUAUGGACUGCGUACGUCUUACCCCCCCAGACCCCACUAGGUGGGAAUACACUGGGUUUGUUGUUGUUGUUGUUGUUUGGUUAUUUGAUAAAUCAGACUGAUGCUAUUAUUUGGAAUUGGUCUAAAUUCUCAGUAACUGAGCAAGUUUUUUGAUUUAGAUAAAUCUUAUAGUCUCUUUUCCCUGAGUGCACAAAAAUAAGAAGGAACUUCUUAUCCUUCCAUACAUGUGGUAAUUCACAUCAGGGGUGGGGUGGGCUCACCUUCCGAAUUCUGGUUCUAUGUUUGUUUAGGUACUUCAUCAUUCAAAGAGAGUGUUAGCACUAACUUUUAGCAAACAUACAGGGAAUACAACUAACCAAUGAUUGUUGAAAUGGGAAAGUUCGAAAGAAGGUGGUUAGUUCCGUGGUUUGUACACAUAGGCUGCUAAACUACUGUCAAAUGCCAUUUUCUUACUUCUUCUGAGUUCGCUAGCUGUAACAACAUUUAUUUGGUGGAUCGUCCAAUGAAUGAGACUCUAUUCGGUACUCAUUACAAGAGUGGCAAAUGGUUUUUUAGAGUCCACCACUGUCAUCAGCCAUGAGUAGGAUAACUCUGACCUUCUAUUUGGUGUUUCCUCUUCUUUGAUUUCACUGCAUGGAGUUCCCCGACAAAAAAAAUAAAAAUAAAAAUCAUUAUAGGUUGACAGUCCAGCUUUUUGAUUUCGGGGUUCUUGUUCCGAUGGUGAAAAAAAUCUGGAGGGUAGCGUUCUGCUUUUCUGUUCAGCCAGAUGAUAUUUCUUUCCAUCAACUCUUUCUGUGAAAGAACUCCUUAUCAUCAGAAACCAGAGUACGCAUAUGUACACGUUGGAGUGGGUAAUUAUCAGCAUGAGUUUACCCCACUUUGAACCUAGUAUAUGAAGUAGAUGUAGCAAAGUGGACAAAUGUUUCAUAAAUAAACUGUAAAUGGUCGGUGUUAUUCUAUCACAAAAGCUACUUUCACAUUUUCUCAUUAAUCCCCCGCCUUUAGCCUGAGAAAGACACAGACAACCCAACCGUUUUGAUGUAGCCACAUUGCAUCUUAAAAUAUACCAAGGCGGAAAUUGUGAACCUCAGAGAGGCAUAAGUAGU
RNAcentral lists this long non-coding RNA (29684 nucleotides) under Capsicum annuum. Its description in RNAcentral is "long non-coding RNA (CANN_LNC013062)". Lineage: Eukaryota; Viridiplantae; Streptophyta; Magnoliopsida; Solanales; Solanaceae. The record is from RNAcentral.